ACGCUCGACACCUACUGGAGGCAGCAGUGGGGAAUAUUGCACAAUGGGGGAAACCCUGAUGCAGCGACGCCGCGUGGAGGAAGAAGGUCUUCGGAUUGUAAACUCCUGUUGUUGGGGAAAAAGAGGAUGGUACCCAACAAGGAAGUGACGGCUAACUACGUGCCACAGCCGCGGUAAUCUGAGCGGGCUGGCAAGGC
RNAcentral lists this ribosomal RNA (197 nucleotides) under uncultured bacterium. Its description in RNAcentral is "partial 16S ribosomal RNA". It matches the Rfam family "Bacterial small subunit ribosomal RNA", at positions 328 to 539 of the family's 1533-position model. The record is from RNAcentral.